Manduca sexta (tobacco hornworm) is the source of this 379-nucleotide long non-coding RNA. RefSeq lists it as uncharacterized. Lineage: Eukaryota; Metazoa; Arthropoda; Insecta; Lepidoptera; Sphingidae. The record is from RefSeq and is a predicted model, not a curated record. The transcript has 3 exons.
AUUCGACUCAACACAAUCACACAGUGAACAACACUAUCACAUAAAAUUCAGAAAGUGAUUUUUACGUGAAUAAAUUCGUGUCAUAAGAUUUCGAAUACUUGUCGCCAUCUGUUAUCAAGUAGCAGACAUGAUUAGUUUAAUAUACUUAUACGUUGCCGUGGCGGCGCUAGUGUCGCUGCAGUGCGGACUUGAUGCCGCGCAUAUUGACAAUUCCAAACUCGACAACAGUUUACAACCCAAUGUGAUCCCAAACCCAGCUCCCAAACGGCGUUUGUUGAGGAAAUUCGUUCACAUAUCAGAACCAUUGCCUGAGACCAUCCGACACGUUCCCGGCAUGACGCUCGAGAUCGAAUGCCCAGUCAUGGGCAAGCCGGCGCCC